Molecule: long non-coding RNA, 1223 nt
Organism: Pan troglodytes (chimpanzee)
Lineage: Eukaryota; Metazoa; Chordata; Mammalia; Primates; Hominidae
Exons: 3
Source: RefSeq, a predicted model, not a curated record
GGGUCUGAUGUCAGACAAAUGCGUAUGAAUUCUGGCUGCGGAACUACUAACUUGGGACUUUGAGCAAGUCUCACCCACAAAUAGAGAGGUUGUGAGAAAUAAAACAAAAACUGUCUGGCACACAGAAAGAUUCAAUAAGCGUUAUGUAUGAUUAUUUUUUACGUAAAGGUACACAUAUAUGAAGUGCCUGAUCUCCCAGCAGCUGGACUUGAAAUAUGCUCUCAGGCAGUAUGGUCUGAGGCCAGCAUUUACCACCACCAGUAAGUACACUUCACUGAUUCUAACUCAAGUGUGGUCCUUGGACUAGCAGCAGCACCUGCGAGCUUGUUAAAAUGCAGAACUUCAGGCUCUACUCCAGUUCCAGUGAAUCAGGACCUGCAUGUGAACAGGUAGGAGCUUAAGAUUGCCAAUCUACAGAAGCUACAUCAGAAUUUCACCUUGGCCCAGCUCACCUGUAACUCAUACCAGCCCCAGGAACAGACAGAGUUUUGCUCUUGUUGCCCAGGCUGGAGUGAAAUGGCACGCUCUCAGCUCACCACAACCUCCGCCUCCCAGGUUCAAGCAAUUCUCCUGCCUCAGCCUCCUGAGUAGUUGGGAUUACAGGCAAGUACCACCAUGCCCAGCUAAUUUUUGUAUUUUUAGUAGAGACGGGGUUUCUCCAUGCUGGUCAGGCUGGUCUCAAACUCCCGACCUUAGGUGAUCCACCUUCCUCAGCCUCCCAAAGUGCUGGGAUUACAGGCAUGAGCCACCGUGCCCGGCCAGGUCUUCCAUACUUCUACUGACAGUGACUGUUCCAAGGAGUGAGCCACUGGAAUCACUGCUGAAAUUUUACAGAUCAACCCAGGGAAACAUGGGAUGGUAUGGUUUGAAUAUUUGUCCCCUCCAAAACUCAUGAUGAAAUGUAAUCCCCUGAUAUGAUUUGGAUUUGUGUCCCCGCCCAAAUCUCAUGUCAAAUUGGAGGAGGGACCUGGUGGGAGGUGACUGGAUCAUGGGGGUGGAUUUCCCUCUUGCUGUUCCCAUGACAGUGAGUGAGUUCUCACAAGAUCUGAUGAUUUAAAUGUGUGUGGCACUUCCUGCUUGGCUCUCUCUCUUCUACCACGUGAAGAACCUUCCUUCCCCUUUGCCUUCCAACUGCAUGAUUUCAAGUAUCCUGAGGCCUCCCAGUCAUCCUUCCUAUUAAGCCUGUGGAAUUGUGAGGCAAUUAAAUCUCUUUUCUUCAUAAA